This 367-nucleotide non-coding RNA is filed under the name Lederbergia galactosidilytica. RNAcentral describes it as "Bacillus galactosidilyticus T-box sequence". It matches the Rfam family "T-box leader". From Rfam's summary of the family: Uncharged tRNA acts as the effector for transcription antitermination of genes in the T-box leader family. T-boxes are found upstream of many aminoacyl-tRNA synthetase genes and some amino acid biosynthetic genes usually in Gram-positive bacteria. The record is from RNAcentral. Lineage: Bacteria; Bacillati; Bacillota; Bacilli; Caryophanales; Bacillaceae.
AAUAAAUCGUUGAAUAAGAGGAGUACAUUUGGUAUAGGCGGUAAAGAGAGUCGGUGAUGGUGAGAUUCCGAUACGCACUGCGUGAUGGUGAGAUUCCGAUACGCACUGCCAAAUGGAAUGGGCUUAUGAGAGAUUUCCUGAACAAGGAGUAGGGAAAUUCGGCUUCCACCGUUAAUAGGAUAAGGUAUCAGAAUGAGAAAGGUUCAGACGACGUUCGGCGUUGUAUACAGUGCAGGUAAAGCAACGGAAAGUUAAUUCAGCUUUAUGGCGUUGCGCAACCGCAAGACACUUUCGUCUUUUAUGGUACCUGAUUGAGAUGAGGAAUCUUUCCUCAAUAGAGGUGGCACCGCGACUUUUCGCCCUCUGU